This 519-nucleotide long non-coding RNA is filed under the name Brassica rapa (field mustard). Its description in RNAcentral is "long non-coding RNA (BRAP_LNC007770)". The record is from RNAcentral. Lineage: Eukaryota; Viridiplantae; Streptophyta; Magnoliopsida; Brassicales; Brassicaceae.
UCAAAUUUAAUCUGGUUUCCAAAUUUACAAUAUAUAUAUCCUGUUCACAGCAAUAUAUAUACUGUACUGUACAAAAGCAAAGCAUUGAUAAUACACACGUGUGCCUAGGACGGAAAACAAAUGGGCAGAUAACUUGACACGUAGUGCUCGGAAACAACCGUCUUUCGUCGUGCACAUGGACGCAUAAUUAUCACUUUGGUUUACAGAGUCUACUUGAAUACGUAAAUAUUUGCUGUAAAAAAAAAUAAAAACACACACGUGUAUAUAUACUGUACAAAAUACAAUGAGUAUUGGUAGAAAAGUGAACCUUUGAUGGGACAAAUCUACAACGUCCACCAACAAGAGUCCCCAUAGAAUUUAAACGGAAUAGUCAAUGAAAUAGACUCCUACGUACCAAUAAUACCCACACUAAAAAAAAAAUGUUAAAAAGACCUACAUACCUAGUCAUGUCCAUUAACAUUUACGUAUAACAUAUGCAAAAGUGAAGAAAUUAAUAGUUUUGAAUCUUAUCCGGUUGUG